GGAGCAAGCGAAGUAAACAAGGAGAACCCUAAGGUACUUCUAAUUAAAGGAUAUGAUAUAGGGCAACAAUCCAAAUAUCUGUAUCUAAUCAACGCGAUUGCGGCCAACUGCAUAGCUGGCGCCACCACGCAGGCACCGUCAACUGUUAUGAUAAAUAUUUUCCACAUUCCUCCAGAAAACAGCACGGGGCUGAUUAGAAGGUCUUCAUUUACUUGUUCACUUCAAACCUCCACAAAUAUCUAAAACUGGACCAGAAGCAUCUAUUAUUAAUGAAUUGAUACGUUUAAAAGAAAAAAAGAUUACAUCUAUCAUGAGAUAAUUUAAUCAACAAUAAAGAUGAUGUACUGCAACAACAGAUUUCCAAACUCCAAUUGAUGUGAUUUUCACAAAUAUCAGACAGCAAUAUUGUGGAGUAUACGAAACAUACUUUUCGGAUCACAAACCAAUUUUCAUCAAACUUGAUGUAAAUGGUGCCGACGUCUAUGAGGAGAGAAGUGUUUCACAAUUAUUUGACAGUUUAAGUAUUUCGAAAGACGAGAAUAUCAAUAAAGAAAAUGUUUAUCAAAAACUUGCAACUUUGUACGUUUCUGAAAAAGUUGAUCUUUAUGAGGAUGAAAAUAAGGAUUCCUGUGUGAUUAAUAUAAGUGAUUAGGAUGUAGAUUAUGAUUCUUUUAAUUU
Belonocnema kinseyi is the source of this 678-nucleotide long non-coding RNA. RefSeq lists it as uncharacterized. The transcript has 3 exons. NCBI's taxonomy places the organism in Eukaryota, Metazoa, Arthropoda, Insecta, Hymenoptera, Cynipidae. The record is from RefSeq and is a predicted model, not a curated record.